Molecule: ribosomal RNA, 440 nt
Filed under: uncultured bacterium
Lineage: Bacteria
Description: partial 16S ribosomal RNA
Rfam family: Bacterial small subunit ribosomal RNA
Source: RNAcentral
CCUACGGGUGGCUGCAGUAGGGAAUAUUGCUCAAUGGGGGAAACCCUGAAGCAGCAACGCCGCGUGGAGGAUGAAGGUUUUCGGAGAGGAAACUCCUUUUGUUAGAGAAGAGAAUGACGGUAUUUAACGAAUAAUCACCGGCUAACUCCGUGCCAGCAGCCGCGGUAAUACGGAGGGUGCAAUCGUUACCCGGAAUCACUGGGCGUAAAGGGAGCGUAGGCGGGAUAGCAAGUCAGAUGUGAAAUCCUAUGGCUUAACCUUAGAACUGCAUUUGAAACUGUUAUUCUAGAGUAUGGGAGAGGUAGGUGGAAUUCUUGGUGUAGUGGUGACAUCCGUAGAGAUCAAGAGGAAUACUCAUUGCGAAGGCGACCUGCUAGAACAUAACUGACGCUGAUGCGCGAAAGCGUGGGGAGCAAACAGGAUUAGAUACCCCAGUAGUC